UCCAUUUUAACAAAGCCCUACACCACUCCAGCCUGGUGGCACUGUGUGUGUGCUCAUGUGUGUUUGUUGCAUCUGGAUGUUCACAAGGAACUAACAGAACUGAUUAUCAGGUACUGCUGCAUGCAAAUGCCAUGGGAAAAACAGGAGACACAAGCACAGAAGGCAACCAGGAGGUUUUUAAGGACAAGUAAAAGGAGAUGAAAACAAGAAAAUGACUGAAAUGGAAAUCUCAAAGGUAAGGCAUUUUCAAGUUUAUAUAUAAUCAGUAAAC
RNAcentral lists this long non-coding RNA (271 nucleotides) under Cyanistes caeruleus (blue tit). Its description in RNAcentral is "lncRNA (ENSCCEG00000008866.1)". The record is from RNAcentral. Lineage: Eukaryota; Metazoa; Chordata; Aves; Passeriformes; Paridae.